This 1314-nucleotide long non-coding RNA is filed under the name Malus domestica (apple). Its description in RNAcentral is "long non-coding RNA (MDOM_LNC007781)". Lineage: Eukaryota; Viridiplantae; Streptophyta; Magnoliopsida; Rosales; Rosaceae. The record is from RNAcentral.
UUUUGUUGCGAUAGAAGACAAAAAUGUAUUUUUACCUUUUUUUUUUUAUAAAGAAGAUUUCAUUAAUAUGUAGUUUAGAUAUCACAUAUUAUUAUUUGUUAUAUAUAAAUAUGGGAUAGGAUCAAGGGACGAGAAAAACUUGUAUAUGCUUGCAAUUGGAUUUUGUCGAGUGGCAAUACAAUCUAGUCAAAACUCGUCAUGUAAUAAGUUUAAAAUAUACUGUUAUUUUAUCAUGUUUUAUUUUAAAAUCUUCAUGAUUAUCUCUUUUACUAAUUAAGGAUAUUAAUUAGGAAUUAUCUACAACUAAUUCAUAUAUGAAGAACCAUAUCCAUAUCCCACUGUUAAGCCGAUUCCCACAGGAUAUAAAAAGUUUAAUUAGAGCUCUGCAUAGUCCUCACAAUCAUUCCUGUAGUACAAUAUAGAAGAAAAUUAGAAAAAUGAAAUCAAAAUAUAAAAUAUAGAACUUAAAUCCUACUGAAAAAGUUCUAGUGUUCAGCAAAAUGAAGCAAAUAUGAACGGUUGUGCAUGCCUUUCUUCAAACGAAUAUAAAAUGUAAACAAUAACAUCUACAAUUCUAAUACUUUAUCAAUAAAUAUGAAUUGAGCAUCCAUUUGACUAACAACAAAAUUGAAUAUCACAAAAAUAUAUAUUAAAUAAUCUGUAAGUUUUGUUUUGCUUUUUCUUCUUCUACCUUGAGGAGCAGUAGCCCAGAAUUUAGAUCACGGGUGAAUUUUCUCAAUCAAGAUUCGAUUUAGGAUUGAGAUGAUUUUAAGUAUGUUUUCGAAAUUGGAUUUUUUUUUCCUUUUAUUUCAUGAUAGUUGGAGAAGAUUGGCUUUUUCCAUAUUCUUAUGAAGAAACGAGAAAAACGUGUGGGGAAGAAGAUUGCAACGGCAGGGAGGGAGGGAAAAUGAAAAGGAGGAGGGGAGGAAAAAAUAUGAACUCUUAGAUGGUGUAUAUUAAUUAAUAGAAAUGAAAAUUUUUAAAUAGAAGAAUGAUAAAUAUUGUAUUUACAACUUACCACAUGGCAAGUUUUGAUUCGUUGUAGUGUUACUCAGCAAAAUCCAGUGACAAACCAAACCUCACACAAGUUUUUCUCUCAAGGGACACAUAUUUUUACACUUUUUUAUGGUCUUUAAAUUUUAUGACAUUUUUUUUAUAUAUUCAUUAAAUGACAUGGACGCUUAUGUGGAUUUUAAUUAAAUAUUAAAACUGAAAAAAUACAUAAAAUCUGGAAAAUUUAAAAAAUGAAGAUAAUUUUUUUUUAAACAAGCGAUAUUAUCUAAGGGAGUGAAUGGGCUUAGCCUCACAAUAGGC